GCUAUAAAACAGGCCUUCUUAACCUGUGGUCCAUGGACCAGUUUGGGGUCCGUGGAUGGAAUUCAGGGAGUCCGUGAACCAGGCGCAAAAAAAUUCGUUU
Molecule: long non-coding RNA, 100 nt
Organism: Priapulus caudatus
Lineage: Eukaryota; Metazoa; Priapulida; Priapulimorpha; Priapulimorphida; Priapulidae
Exons: 3
Source: RefSeq, a predicted model, not a curated record